RNAcentral lists this ribosomal RNA (390 nucleotides) under fungal sp. RNAcentral's name for it is "SSU rRNA". It matches the Rfam family "Eukaryotic small subunit ribosomal RNA", at positions 827 to 1217 of the family's 1831-position model. The record is from RNAcentral. Lineage: Eukaryota; Fungi.
CGUGCGGUUCUAUUUUGUUGGUUUCUAGGACCGCCGUAAUGAUUAAUAGGGACAGUCGGGGGCAUCAGUAUUCAAUUGUCAGAGGUGAAAUUCUUGGAUUUAUUGAAGACUAACUACUGCGAAAGCAUUUGCCAAGGAUGUUUUCAUUAAUCAGGAACGAAAGUUAGGGGAUCGAAGACGAUCAGAUACCGUCGUAGUCUUAACCAUAAACUAUGCCGACUAGGGAUCGGGCGACGUUAUUACUUGACUCGCUCGGCACCUUACGAGAAAUCAAAGUGCUUGGGCUCCAGGGGGAGUAUGGUCGCAAGGCUGAAACUUAAAGAAAUUGACGGAAGGGCACCACCAGGGGUGGAGCCUGCGGCUUAAUUUGACUCAACACGGGGAAACUCA